Molecule: long non-coding RNA, 7098 nt
Filed under: Gossypium barbadense (sea-island cotton)
Lineage: Eukaryota; Viridiplantae; Streptophyta; Magnoliopsida; Malvales; Malvaceae
Description: long non-coding RNA (GBAR_LNC008219)
Source: RNAcentral
GCCGAUGUGAUGAAUGUGAAAGUGUAUAUAUGUAAUAAGGCCUAAUGGCCGAUGUGAUGAAUGUGAAAGUGUAUAUAUGUGAUAAGGCCUAAUGGCCGAUGUGAUGAAUGUGAAAGUGUAUAUAUGUGACAGGGCCGAGUGGCCAACGUGAUGGAUGUGAAAGUCAAUAAAUGUGAUAAGUCCCGAAGGGCAUUUGUCUCAGUACUAUAUCCGGGUUAAAACCCCGCAGGCUUUAUGCGAGAAUAUUAUCACUGAUUAAUGUCCGUAAGCUUUGUGCUCGUACUAUAUCCGAGCUCUAAAGACCCGAUGACUACGUGUGGGAAUUUUGUCCGGGUAAGACCCGAUAACUUCGUGUGGAGAUUAUGUCCGGGUAAGACUUCGUAAUAAGAAUUGCUUAUAAAUAUAUUCAAUGCGAAAGGUUAAACAGGUAUGUACUCCAAGUUUAUAUGUGAGCUUGAUUUGCACUAAAUCAUAAGGUAGUUAUGUGAUGCAUACGAGAGCAAUCUAUGAGACUAUUCCUAUGAUUAUGUGACAUCGGAUCAGUGUGAGAGGCGAUGUGAAAUCAUACGAUAUAUCUAUGUCACAUUAGCUCACUUUUAUGUGAAAGUUUAUCUGCAUAUUGUAUAUGAUGAGAUGUGCAUAUUCGAUAAAGGGAUGGUAUGCCCGAAGGAAGAGUGAAAUAAAAAUACGAACAACUAUGUUAUAAUUUGAUUGUUAUCUGUUGACACUGUUUAAAACUUACUAAGCAUUGUAAUGCUUACUCCGUUUACUCUGUUUCCUCUGUUUUAUAGAUCUCAUUGCGAAGCUACAGGCUCGGGGAUCGUCAGCAACUAGUCACACUAUCACUAUCCACUGUUUGGUACUGCUAUGUUUCGGAUUAUCUUAUGGCAUGUAUAAAAUAGACUAGUGGCGGAAGAAUAUUUUGGUUAAUGUAUAUAGCCAUGCGAAAAUGGCUUAUAUAUGUUUGAGCAUAAUGUUAUAAUCAUUUGGUAUGGAAUGGUUAAUCACUAUCAUAAUUUGUGCUAUUUAUGCUAAAAGGGCUAGUUGAAUCAUGGAAACUAUGAAAUAGGUAAAGUCUACCUUAAAGGCAGAUGCUGGCAGCAGCAGUGAUGUAGAUUUGGAAAAUCACUAAAAAUAGUAGGAUUGGAAUUAAAUAAUUAAUAAAUUAUGUAAACUAACCUUGAUGAAUCUAUUUUCAUAACAAAGUAACGAAAUGAUCAUAUGGACAGUAUGUUAAGAGAUAUUCAGGUUCUCAUGAGACAGGGCCAGAACAGUUUCUGGAUUCCCUGUUCCAAAUUUGGAAAUUCAUUAUAAAUUAACCAAAGAUAAUUAGGAGUCAUGCCAUAUAUGUAUAGAUUCCUCUCUGAGUCUAGUUUCUAUAGAAACAAACGGAAUCAGUAUUGAAGCUCUGUGCAGGGAGAUAUCCAAGUCGUAAUGCGCAAAGGUCAGUGUAGUUGAUCCCUGUAACAUGGGAGACUUUGACUAAUAAACUGUACUAAUUGGCCCAAUCAAAAAUUCUAGAAAAACAUAUGUAGAUGGGCAUAUGAGUCUAGUUUCAGGGAAAAAUUACGAAACUGAUUUUCGAGUUGUGAAUCUCAAGAUAUGAUUUUUAAGGUGACAGUGUCGCAGUUAGCCAACUGCCUAGAAAAUUUUAAAAUGGACUGCGAUAGUAAGCGAAUUUGGUCUGUGAACCCCUCGUGUCCGACUCCGAAAACGGUCUCGGGUACGGGGUGUUACAAUUUUAUUGGUAUCAUAGCUACGGUUUAGUCGAUUCUAGGACUAACGUAGCACGCGUGAGUCUAUUUAUACAUGCCAUAAAGUGAUAAAAUGAUAGUGUGAUGAUUUUUGGCUAUUAAAAUGUGUUUUCUGUAUUGUAAUGAAUCUUGAUCCCGAUCGAGCUGUAGCAAGCUUCUGACUAUGAGAAUUUGCGAUAUAACUUCAUUUAGAUAUGCCUAAAUUAUUAAGUUGAUCAGGUACGUAUCAUGUACUCGUAUUUGAAUUUCGAUUUGGAUUGAAUUAUAAGGGUAUAAGUGAUGCAAUUUUGAAGGAGUGUUAUGACUAUAAAUGUGAUUUUUGUAUGUGGCUAUGGAACUGGAAGUUGAAUGGUCGAUAAGCAUGUUGUGUUUGUAUUCAAGUAUUGUAAAUGAUAUACUAAUGUGUAUUGCUAUAUGUGUAUAUGUAUGUAGAGACGAAAUUGUCGAAUGUAAAAAGGCAGUGAAGCGUGUAGAGUGGUUGGUUUUCAGCACUAAGUGUGCGGGCAAUAAGUGUUCACGGUUGUGAGAUUGGCACUAAGUGUGCGGGCAAUAAGUGUUCACGGUUGUGAGAUUGGCACUAAGUGUGCGGGCUUGAAAUGCGUGGCACUAAGUGUGCGAGUUUAAAGUACAUGGCACUAAGUGUGCGUGGUUGAUUAUUAAGCACUAUGUGUGCGAACCCACUAUAUAUAUAUAUUUUCUAUCAAUUAUUUAUAUUAAGGGUGCGACCUUACCAAGUCGAUUUCGGACAGCGGAAAGGGGUAAGUUCUUGAGUAAUAGAGCUUAAAUUAUGAUUUGAUUAGAUCAUGUUUUAAGCAAAUCAAAAUCAUGCUCUUUGUGUGUGGCUAUUGAGCCGAAAUUGCAAGAAUGAUAAGUGUCUUGUGUUUGAGUUUUGCUAAUGAAAAUGAAAUACGAAUGUGUCAUGAGUUAUUGUUAAAUGUGCAUGGUUAUUCGAAUGAUGUCCGGGCUAAGUCCCGAAGGCUUUGUGCUAAGUGACCAUAUCCGGACUAAGAUCCGAAGGCAUUGGUGCGAGUUACUAAAUCCGGGCUAAGUCCCGAAGAGCAUUCAUGCUAGUGAUGUAUCCGGGCUAAGUCCCGAAGAGCAUUCGUGCUAGUGAUAUAUCCGUGCUAAAUCCCGAAGAGCAAUCAUGCUGGUGACGUGUAUUCGGGCCUUCGUGCCUAGUAGGCUUCAUGCCUGUAAUUUGAGCAAAGUUUAAGUAUUCAUUACUAUACGAAUUCAAAUUUAAAUGAGAUGAUAUGUUUAAAAGUGUACACACAUGAUGUUUAUAGACUUGGUUAAGUCAUAUCAAUGUGUAUUAAUGAAUGAAUAAGAGCACUAUGUAUGUGAAUAAUUAGAGGCACUGUGUGUGUGCGAAUUCCUUUAACCGAGCACUAUGAGUGCGAGAUCGAUCAAUGGGCACUAAGUGUGUGAAGUGGAAUUCAUGUAAGACCUCGUUUGGGACGAAGGCAUUGAUUUGAGAUAGUGUGUAAGACCAUGUCUGGGACAUGGCAUCGGCUCGAUAUGUGAGAAUAUGUAAGACCAUAUCUAGGAUAUGGCAUUGUAAGAGCUACAUGUGCUAUUGCUGAAUGGACACUAUUUUGUUAAUCUUGUUCAAGAAAUUAUUUUGAUUAAGUUUCGACAUUCGAAAGUUUGAAAGAAUUUUUGAUGAAUGUUGAUAAUUUUGGAUAUACGAGUUAUGCGCUAGAAUAAAUCUCAUGCCAGUGUAUUAUAUUAGGCUUUGUGCCUAUUCGACUGUAUAUGGGUAACGUUAACUAUGAUUGAAUGUGCUAAAUGAACUAAAUGUUCAGGUACGUGGAAGUUGACUUUUCUUUUGGAAAUGAGUUAAGUUGAAUAUUGAGAUGUGAUAAAGUUAUAAAGGAUAUUUAUUGGGAUGUUUGAGUAUAUGUGUACUUUCGGUUAGGUUACAGCUUAUUCAUGAAUGAAAAUGUGGGUUGAUGAUGUGAAUUAUACAUGUUAAUAUGUGCUUAAUAUGUGUUUGAAAUGCAUUUGUGAAUUAAGUUAAGUGAUUAUUGCUUAUGAAAUCAAGAAAAUGAGAUAUUUGUGCAUACCUGUAGAAAUGUUUAUGUAUUUGUUUUAAGAUAAGAAAAUGAUUUUAUAGAUCGAUGCGAAAUCAAUAAUGAAUUACAAUUGCCAUCGAUGAGCUAAUGUUUAUAUGAAUAUAAUUCAAUAAGAGGACGUUAUCCUAAACUAUGCAUCGGUGGAAAUUUUCGGGGACGAAAAUCCCUAAAGGGGGGGAGAGUUGUGACACCCCUAAUUUGACCCUAGUCAGAAAGCGGUUUCGGGACCGCUAAACCGAGUAACCAAAUUAUUUGAACAUGAUAUUUAUUGUCUAAAAUAAAUGUGUGAAAAUUUUAAGCUUCGAUUUAGUAAAUUUCAUGUGAAUUUAGUCAAUAGGGCUUAUGUGUGACAUUUUUGAAAUGUGAUAGAUCAAAACAUAAGGACCUAUUAGUGCAUGUUGAAAAAGGGGGGACUUGCAUGUCAAUUUUCCCCCCCAUCUAGUAGUGGCCGGCCAUGACAUUAGGAUGGACAAAGGGUGAUGGGCAAAACAUGUCAUAGACAUGUUGUGUUGGUGCAUCAUGGGAGGAAACAAUAAAAUAAAGAGCAUGGGCAAUAAAAUAUUAGUGUUAGUAGGAUGAGAAACAAAAAAAAAAGAAAGGAUAUGUGUGAUUGUCCCCCCCCCUUGCCGUGAGUUGAAGGAAAGAAAAAAAAAAAGGUGUUCAUCCUUUGGUUCAUCAUUGGCCGAAAAUUUUAAGGAGGAAGGAAGAAGAAAGAUUGAAGAGGUUCGGCCAUGCAUGUAACUAGGCUAAGGUAUGUUUGAUGAUGUUCCAUGAGAUGCAUGCAUGUUUUAGUUGUUAGCUUGAGUUCUACCUAGCCCAUGGUCUAAAUCUUGCUAUGUGAUGGAAAUGACACUCGGCCAUGGAUGCAUCAUUCUUGCUUGGUGUUGAUGUUGUGUUGGUGAGAUAUCAAGUUAUUUUUGUGACCAAGUUGAGAUUUGAAUUUUUGGAAUGAGUAAGACUUUCGGUUAUGUUGUUUUGUAUGAGUAAUGGAUUGUUGAGUUCAUGCUAUUAUGAAUAAAAUUGAUUAAGAGAGGCUUGAGAUAAGUAAAUAUGCAUGUUGGUGGUAAGAUGAGCAUUCGGUUUUUAUCAUGGAAGCAUAGGAAGCUUGUUAAAGUUGAAUUUUAGAAAAGUUAAAUGUGUGUGUGCUUGUGCUAGUGCUGAAUGUGCCUAGGGUGAUUUAGCAUUGAGUUUGGUGUUAUAUGAAUUGAGUUUUAUGGUUUUGGAUUUUUAAGUGUUGUUAAAUACUUUGAAUAAUAUAUAUAUGUGGCUUUGAAAUGUGAAACUCGGCCAAGUGGUUAUAAGCAUGAUUUUAGAGAUUCAAUGAUAUUCGGCCGAUUUGAAUAAUUCAUGGCACCCCAAGCAAAUUAGUUUUAGAUGUUAAUAAAUAUUGAAAUUAUUUAAAAGCAUAUUACCGAAUGUGAUUUUAGUCAAUGAUUCGGUUAUGAGUGCUGAUUUGUUUUAUAAUUAGCCGAAUGUGUAUAUGUAUACUAUGAGGUGGUUUAGCUUAAAGAAAAUUAAGGUGCUCGGAAGGUGAUCGUCGUGGAUAGUUUAAGUAAUGAAAUUUAAUUUCUGUUAUGUAAAGUGAUGACAUUGCUGUUUGCAAAUUUGAAGUUAAAAAUUGUUGAUUGAGCAUCAAGAGCUUAUGGAAACAAAGUCAGAUCGUGGAAAAAGGGAAAUUGGUCGAAUAGUCAGAAUUGACGUACAUUAGCGAUCGAGGUAAGUUUUAAGUAUUAAAGCCUAUAAUGUGAUUGAGUAUGAUAUGUUAAGCACAUAUUAAAAGAAUCAUAACUCUAUUGUAAAUUUUUAUGCAUAUAGCCUAAUGGCUAUUAUGAAGUAUAGGUAAGUUAUUGAUAUGAUAUGUUGCCAAAUGGAUAUGAUAUUAUGAAGUGCUAAAAGGAUAUGUCAGAAGAGUAAAAUUGUGAUAAACCUGCUAAGGACAGCAGCAGUAACAUGAAUUUAGAAAAUCACCGUAAAUUGUUGGGGUUGAAUGGGAGGCUGAAUAAAUUUUAAAAUUAAAGCUUAAUGAGUCUAGUUUCUUAUAAAAGAAACCGUGUAAGAAAAUUUAUUUCCGAUAAUGAGAUAUUUAAAGUUGUGUGAGACAGUGCAGAAUGACACUGUAAUCCUCUGUUCUGUUUUUAGAAAAUCAUUAUAAAUUGUACAAAAAUGGUUAUAAGAUAAAAUUUAUAUGCUUAGACUCCUUAAUGAGUCUAGUUUCAAAUGAAAUCAAAUACAACACAUUUUGAAUUCUGUAAAAUGAGAAAUCUGAUUCGUAGUGAAGAGUGGUCAGAUUAGUCAAAUAGUGAAACAGGGGAAACUUUAAGAAAAAUCUGGUAUUGAUUGGCCAAACCUAAAAUUCUGGAAAUUUUAUGGAUGGAAUAUAUACGAGUAUAUAUUCAGGAAAAAUUAACGGAAAGUGAUUUGGAGUUUUGUAGCUCCAGUUAUAAAUGAUUUAGUGACUAUUGCUCAGGAAAAACAGCUUGUGCUGAAUUUGAGAUUGUGUUGUAAACCUUGAUAAACUUGUUCUAGUUGUUUAUAAGCUAUUGAUUAAACCCAUACAUGAAUUCUAAAUUGUGAUAUUGGAAAAUGAUAGAUGUAGAUUCAGCCAAGAUAGUGUAUAUAUGUGAUAAGGCCUAAUGGCCGAUGUGAUGAAUGUGAAAGUGUAUAUGUGUGAUAAGGCCUAAUGGCCGAUGUGAUGAAUGUGAAAGUGUAUAUAUGUGAUAUGGCCUAAUAGCCGAUGUGAUGAAUGUGAAAGUGUAUAUAUGUGAUAAGGCCUAAUGGCCGAUGUGACGAAUGUGAAAGUGUAUAUGUGUGAUAAGGCGUAAUGGCCGAUGUGAUGAAUGUGAAAGUGUAUAUAUGUGAUAAGGCCUAAUAGCCGAUGUGAUGAAUGUGAAAGUGUAUAUAUGUGAUAAGGCCUAAUGGCCGAUGUGAUGAAUGUGAAACUGUAUAUGUGUGAUAAGGCCUAAUAGCCGAUGUGAUGAAUGUGAAAGUGUAUAUAUGUAAUAAGGCCUAAUGACCGAUGUGAUGAAUGUGAAAGUGUAUAUAUGUGAUAAGGCCUAAUGGCCGAUGUGAUGAAUGUGAAAGUGUAUAUAUGUGACAGGGCCGAGUGGCCAACGUGAUGGAUGUGAAAGUGCAUAAAUGUGAUAAGUCCCGAAGGGCAUUUGUGUCAAUACUAUAUCCGGGUUAAAACCCCGCAGGCUUUAUGCGAGAAUAUUAUCACUGAUUAAUGUCCGUAAGCUUUGUGCUCGUACUAUAUCCGAGCUCUAAAGACC